Molecule: microRNA, 22 nt
Filed under: Chrysemys picta bellii (western painted turtle)
Lineage: Eukaryota; Metazoa; Chordata; Testudines; Emydidae
Also listed under: 15 other names
Description: Cpi-Mir-194-P2_3p* (star (passenger))
Source: RNAcentral
CCAGUGGAGAUGCUGUUACUUU